UUAUCCUCCACCGCGAGAAAACUGCGCGGGUCCAUCGUGCACCAAUCCGUACAGGUAUCGUGAUUCAAAGACUAAGGUUCCUCUGUGCAGCCUCCAAUGCUACAAGGCGGUUCAGGAGCAGCAGCAGCAGCAGCAGCAGACCUCUGAACCAGCAACCGACCCCACCCCACCACCGGAGCAGACCUCUGAACCAGCAACCGACCCCACCCCACCACCGGUUUAGAUAGUGAUUGUUUUUUUUUCUGGAUAUAAAAGGACAAGAACUUAGAGCGUUAUCAUUGUUGCAGUGAGGAGCUUCUUAGCUUCCUCAUUUUAUUACAUGCAGACUACA
This 331-nucleotide long non-coding RNA is filed under the name Brassica napus (rape). Its description in RNAcentral is "long non-coding RNA (BNAP_LNC002949)". The record is from RNAcentral. Lineage: Eukaryota; Viridiplantae; Streptophyta; Magnoliopsida; Brassicales; Brassicaceae.